RNAcentral lists this long non-coding RNA (314 nucleotides) under Rattus norvegicus (Norway rat). Its description in RNAcentral is "long non-coding RNA NONRATT032119". The record is from RNAcentral. Lineage: Eukaryota; Metazoa; Chordata; Mammalia; Rodentia; Muridae.
GUUUAGUGGGUCGGAUGCAGAGGGUUCUAUUCCACAUUCAAGAAUGGACCUAGGAUCCUUCUGCUUGGGAGCUAAACCAACCCCAGGCAUCUUAGAGGAUCUUGGAAUGUCUUGUUUAUGGGCAACCUACAGGUCUCCCUUAGUAAAGCAACGAGGACAGGAAGACCAGAGAAGAGAGCCCAGAGACCCACAUGUGGACUCUACCCACCAUGGGAUGGAGGUCUUCCUUGGACCCUGGCACCACCUGAAUUUUCCUUGCCACUGCCCCACCUGAUGAGGGAGCACCACGCAUACCAGCAGAAGGACGCAAGGUU